AGUCGAACGGUAACAUUUCUAGCUUGCUAGAAGAUGACGAGUGGCGGACGGGUGAGUAAUGCUUGGGAACUUGCCUUUGCGAGGGGGAUAACAGUUGGAAACGACUGCUAAUACCGCAUAAUGUCUUCGGACCAAACGGGGCUUCGGCUCCGGCGCAAAGAGAGGCCCAAGUGAGAUUAGCUAGUUGGUAAGGUAACGGCUUACCAAGGCGACGAUCUCUAGCUGUUCUGAGAGGAAGAUCAGCCACACUGGGACUGAGACACGGCCCAGACUCCUACGGGAGGCAGCAGUGGGGAAUAUUGCACGAUGGGGGAAACCCUGAUGCAGCCAUGCCGCGUGUGUGAAGAAGGCCUUCGGGUUGUAAAGCACUUUCAGUUGUGAGGAAAAGUUAGUAGUUAAUACCUGCUAGCCGUGACGUUAACAACAGAAGAAGCACCGGCUAACUCCGUGCCAGCAGCCGCGGUAAUACGGAGGGUGCGAGCGUUAAUCGGAAUUACUGGGCGUAAAGCGCACGCAGGCGGUUUGUUAAGCUAGAUGUGAAAGCCCCGGGCUCAACCUGGGAUGGUCAUUUAGAACUGGCAGACUAGAGUCUUGGAGAGGGGAGUGGAAUUCCAGGUGUAGCGGUGAAAUGCGUAGAUAUCUGGAGGAACAUCAGUGGCGAAGGCGACUCCCUGGCCAAAGACUGACGCUCAUGUGCGAAAGUGUGGGUAGCGAAUAGGAUUAGAUACCCUGGUAGUCCACACCGUAAGCGCUGUCUACUAGCUGUGUGUGCCUUUAAGGCGUGCGUAGCGAAGCUAACGCGCUAAGUAGACCGCCUGGGGAGUUCGGCCGCAAGGUUAAAACUCAAAUGAAUUGACGGGGGCCCGCACAAGCGGUGGAGCAUGUGGUUUAAUUCGAUGCAACGCGAAGAACCUUACCUACACUUGACAUGCUGAGAAGUUACUAGAGAUAGUUUCGUGCCUUCGGGAACUC
RNAcentral lists this ribosomal RNA (972 nucleotides) under uncultured marine bacterium. RNAcentral describes it as "bacterial SSU rRNA". It matches the Rfam family "Bacterial small subunit ribosomal RNA", at positions 60 to 1029 of the family's 1533-position model. The record is from RNAcentral.